UACGUAGGGUGCAAGCGUUAAUCGGAAUUACUGGGCGUAAAGCGUGCGCAGGCGGUUUUUGUAAGUCUGUCGUGAAAAUCCCCCGGGCUCAACCUGGGAAUUGCGAUGGAGACUGCAAGGCUAGAAUCUGGCAGAGGGGGGGUAGAAUUCCACGUGUAGCAGUGAAAUGCGUAGAGAUGUGGAGGAACACCGAUGGCGAAGGCAGCCCCCUGGG
Molecule: ribosomal RNA, 214 nt
Filed under: uncultured bacterium
Lineage: Bacteria
Description: partial 16S ribosomal RNA
Rfam family: Bacterial small subunit ribosomal RNA
Source: RNAcentral